CCUAAUACAUGCAAGUCCAGCGAAUGACGAGGAGCUUGCUCCUCUGAUUUAGCGGCGGACGGGUGAGUAACACGUGGGUAAUCUGCCUGUAAGACGGGGAUAACUCCGGGAAACCGGGGCUAAUACCGGAUAACAAGAGAAGAUGCAUAUCUUCUUUUUGAAAGUCGGUUUCGGCUGACACUUACAGAUGAGCCCGCGGCGCAUUAGCUAGUUGGUGAGGUAACGGCUCACCAAGGCGACGAUGCGUAGCCGACCUGAGAGGGUGAUCGGCCACACUGGGACUGAGACACGGCCCAGACUCCUACGGGAGGCAGCAGUAGGGAAUCUUCGGCAAUGGGCGAAAGCCUGACCGAGCAACGCCGCGUGAGCGAUGAAGGCCUUCGGGUCGUAAAGCUCUGUUGUUAGAGAAGAACAAGUACGAGAGUAACUGCUCGUACCCUGACGGUACCUAACCAGAAAGCCACGGCUAACUACGUGCCAGCAGCCGCGGUAAUACGUAGGUGGCAAGCGUUAUCCGGAAUUAUUGGGCGUAAAGCGCGCGCAGGCGGUCUCUUAAGUCUGAUGUGAAAGCCCACGGCUCAACCGUGGAGGGUCAUUGGAAACUGGGAGACUUGAGUGCAGGAGAGAAAAGUGGAAUUCCACGUGUAGCGGUGAAAUGCGUAAAGAUGUGGAGGAACACCAGUGGCGAA
Molecule: ribosomal RNA, 689 nt
Filed under: uncultured bacterium
Lineage: Bacteria
Description: bacterial SSU rRNA
Rfam family: Bacterial small subunit ribosomal RNA
Source: RNAcentral